GAUGAACGCUGGCGGCGUGCCUAAUACAUGCAAGUCGAGCGAACGGACGAGAAGCUUGCUUCUCUGAUGUUAGCGGCGGACGGGUGAGUAACACGUGGAUAACCUACCUAUAAGACUGGGAUAACUUCGGGAAACCGGAGCUAAUACCGGAUGAUAUUUUGAACCGCAUGGUUCAAAAGUGAAAGACGGUCUUGCUGUCACUUAUAGAUGGAUCCGCGCUGCAUUAGCUAGUUGGUAAGGUAACGGCUUACCAAGGCAACGAUGCAUAGCCGACCUGAGAGGGUGAUCGGCCACACUGGAAAUGAGACACGGUCCAGACUCCUACGGGAGGCAGCAGUAGGGAAUCUUCCGCAAUGGGCGAAAGCCUGACGGAGCAACGCCGCGUGAGUGAUGAAGGUCUUCGGAUCGUAAAACUCUGUUAUUAGGGAAGAACAUAUGUGUAAGUAACUGUGCACAUCUUGACGGUACCUAAUCAGAAAGCCACGGCUAACUACGUG
RNAcentral lists this ribosomal RNA (497 nucleotides) under uncultured bacterium. RNAcentral describes it as "partial 16S ribosomal RNA". It matches the Rfam family "Bacterial small subunit ribosomal RNA", at positions 28 to 507 of the family's 1533-position model. The record is from RNAcentral.